UUAGAGACAGGGUCUCACUGAGCUGCUUAGCUCCUCGCCAUUGCUGAGGCUGGCUUUGAACUUGCAAUCCUCCUGUCUCACCCUCCCAAGCUGCCAAGAUUACAGGCGUGUACCACUGCACCCAGCAAGCUUCCAUUGGCUUCUGAUUGGAUGCCAGCUAAGAAUGGAGUUUUGCAUACAGGAUGUGUUCAAAUUUCUAACAUGUGAAUUAGGGAAAAUCAGUGGAACUUUGGAGGUGACUUGUCAGGGACUUCAUCAAUAAUAAGCCUAGUGCUUAAAUAAUUGGCUCUUCUCUGUUUGCUGGGUACAACAGGAGAUACAGAGAGGAUAGCUCAUUCCAUCCUCUCAUUGUCUUGGGAGUGUAGAUAUAUUUCCCUUUGUAGAUAAGUGUAGUUUAACAACUUGCCUGGGUCACAGUUUUUGAGGGAUAGGCAGAGUCUCAAGGCUCUGAUUCUGAAGUCCCACCUCCUCAGCAAGCCCCAUGUGUGGUCAUGUUGCACAUAAAUGUAAUUCACCCACCUCCCCCUGCACCUCUGCAGGGGCACUUGCUCAGAUACACCAGUUAAGAAAGACUUUGUUCUUCAUUUUCUCUUUUCAUCUUUGGGGCCAUCUGUGAGAUGGAUAUAAUUCCCCGUUUUAUGCACAAAGUUCGGACAAGUGAAAGAGUACCAAACUGAAAAGGGACUGAGCCAGGUGUCAGUGUUACCUGGUCCAUUCAGGACUCCACACAGAGCAGAAUUUCUCAGCCUGCUUCCCUUAGAUAUGAAGAAAGAUUGUAUGUCUCUCAUACAUACUCGUCUGGUGGGGGGCUGGGGUGGUCAUGUUGCACAUAAAUGUAAUU
RNAcentral lists this long non-coding RNA (841 nucleotides) under Marmota monax (woodchuck). Lineage: Eukaryota; Metazoa; Chordata; Mammalia; Rodentia; Sciuridae. The record is from RNAcentral.